This 412-nucleotide ribosomal RNA is filed under the name uncultured bacterium. RNAcentral's name for it is "bacterial SSU rRNA". It matches the Rfam family "Bacterial small subunit ribosomal RNA", at positions 355 to 784 of the family's 1533-position model. The record is from RNAcentral.
UGGGGAAUCUUGGACAAUGGGGGCAACCCUGAUCCAGCCAUGCCGCGUGAGUGAUGAAGGCCUUAGGGUCGUAAAGCUCUUUCGCCUGUGAAGAUAAUGACGGUAGCAGGUAAAGAAACCCCGGCUAACUCCGUGCCAGCAGCCGCGGUAAUACGGAGGGGACUAGCGUUGUUCGGAAUUACUGGGCGUAAAGCGCACGUAGGCGGAUCGUUAAGUGAGGGGUGAAAUCCCAGGGCUCAACCCUGGAACUGCCUUUCAUACUGGCGAUCUGGAGUUCGAGAGAGGUGAGUGGAAUUCCGAGUGUAGAGGUGAAAUUCGUAGAUAUUCGGAGGAACACCAGUGGCGAAGGCGGCUCACUGGCUCGAUACUGACGCUGAGGUGCGAAAGCGUGGGGAGCAAACAGGAUUAGAUA